GUUUAGGUGAGGGCGACCUCGGCUGGAACGGAGAAGCUGGUCAAACUUGAUCAUUUAGAGGAAGUAAAAGUCGUAACAAGGUUUCCGUAGGUGAACCUGCGGAAGGAUCAUUAUAAUAGCGAGAGCUACAAUUGGGUGGAAGGAGCGAACAGCAAACAUAGUAACAAAACACAGUAAAAUCAAAACUUUCAACAACGGAUCUCUUGGUUCUCGCAUCGAUGAAGAACGCAGCGAAAUGCGAUAAGUAAUACGAAUUGCAGCCUUCGUGAGUCAUUGAAUCUUUGAACGCACAUUGCGCCCGCGGGCAUUCCCGCGGGCACGCCUGUUUGAGCAUGACAUCUCCCUCCACGGGUGUUGGGCAGUAGCCUGAAGAUGAUGAGUGGUGUGUGAUACGCAUUCGCACUGCUUUUGACGUUUUCUCAAAUCAGGUGGGACUACCCGCUGAACUUAAGCAUAUCAAUAAGCGGAGGAAAAGAAACCAACCGGGAUUGCCUCAGUAACGGCGAGUGAAGCGGCAAAAGCUCAAAUUUGGAACCGCUUUAUGCGGGUUGUAAUUUGAAGGCGUUUACAGGGACGG
This 577-nucleotide ribosomal RNA is filed under the name Wilhelminamyces savonicus. RNAcentral describes it as "eukaryotic LSU rRNA". The stretch from base 184 to 336 matches the Rfam family "5.8S ribosomal RNA". Lineage: Eukaryota; Fungi; Ascomycota; Pichiomycetes; Serinales; Metschnikowiaceae. The record is from RNAcentral.